RNAcentral lists this ribosomal RNA (537 nucleotides) under uncultured bacterium. RNAcentral's name for it is "bacterial SSU rRNA". It matches the Rfam family "Bacterial small subunit ribosomal RNA", at positions 777 to 1312 of the family's 1533-position model. The record is from RNAcentral.
AAUAGAUACCCGGGUAGUCCACGCCGUAAACGAUGAGAACUAGGUGUCGUGGGUGUUGACCCCCGCGGUGCCGUAGCUAACGCAUUAAGUUCUCCGCCUGGGGAAGUACGGUCGCAAGACUAAAACUCAAAGGAAAUUGACGGGGGCCCGCACAAGCGGUGGAGCAUGUGGUUUAAUUCGACGCAACGCGCAGAACCUUGCCUGGUCUUGACAUCCUCGGAAUGCCUCAGAGAUGAGGCGGUGCCCGCAAGGGAACCGAGAGACAGGUGCUGCAUGGCUGUCGUCAGCUCGUGUCGUGAGAUGUUGGGUUAAGUCCCGCAACGAGCGCAACCCUCGCCUUUAGUUGCCGCGCAAGCGGAUCUCUAGAGGGACUGCCGGUGUUAAACCGGAGGAAGGUGGGGAUGACGUCAAGUCCUCAUGGCCUUUAUGACCCAGGGGCUACACACGUGCUACAAUGGCCGGUACAAAGCGUUGCCAACUCGCGAGAGGGAGCUAAUCGCAUAAAACCGGUCUCAGUUCAGAUUGGAGUCUGCUAAC